This 314-nucleotide signal recognition particle RNA is filed under the name Spinacia oleracea (spinach). RNAcentral describes it as "Plant signal recognition particle RNA". It matches the Rfam family "Plant signal recognition particle RNA". Lineage: Eukaryota; Viridiplantae; Streptophyta; Magnoliopsida; Caryophyllales; Amaranthaceae. The record is from Rfam by way of RNAcentral.
GCCGAGUUCAGUAACGUGAGCUUGUAACCUAAGUAGGGGCAUUAAUGUGAUGAGACACGUUCUCAGCCAUUUGGGUCGGACCUUCGGGUUGCAUAAUGCUGGCUCGCCCUAUCCAAGUUGGGAGUUGGUCCAUAUGGGUUGAGCGAAGGCUCGAUCUUCAUGGCCCUAAAUUAAGUGGAGGGGACCGCGUGAGGCUGGUUUCACAGAGCAAUGAAAACCUCCCUUUUCUGUCAGUGGAAGGAUUUCGAGUUUGCGCCACCCAGGUCCAAUAGGAGCGCCCACUUGGCGAAGCCCUUAAUUGGACCAUCACUUCU